GAGGCGGAGCAAAUCUCAAAAAGACGUCCCAGUUCGGAUUGCAGGCUGCAACCCGCCUGCAUGAAGUUGGAAUCGCUAGUAAUCGCGGAUCAGCAUGCCGCGGUGAAUACGUUCCCGGGCCUUGUACACACCGCCCGUCACACCAUGAGAGUCGGGAACACCCGAAGUCCGUAGUCUGACCGCAAGGGGACGCGGCCGAAGGUGGGUUCGAUAAUUGGGGUGAAGUCGUAACAAGGUACC
RNAcentral lists this ribosomal RNA (240 nucleotides) under uncultured bacterium. RNAcentral's name for it is "partial 16S ribosomal RNA". It matches the Rfam family "Bacterial small subunit ribosomal RNA", at positions 1259 to 1500 of the family's 1533-position model. The record is from RNAcentral.